Molecule: ribosomal RNA, 144 nt
Filed under: Urostyla grandis
Lineage: Eukaryota; Ciliophora; Spirotrichea; Urostylida; Urostylidae
Description: partial 17S ribosomal RNA
Rfam family: Eukaryotic small subunit ribosomal RNA
Source: RNAcentral
GCUCCUACCGAUUUCGAGUGAUUCGGUGAACCUUUUGGACAGCGUUAGUUUCGGCUGAUGCUGAAAAUCAAGUAAACCAUAUCACUUAGAGGAAGGAGAAGUCGUAACAAGGUUUCCGUAGGUGAACCUGCGGAAGGAUCAUUA